RNAcentral lists this ribosomal RNA (445 nucleotides) under uncultured bacterium. RNAcentral describes it as "partial 16S ribosomal RNA". It matches the Rfam family "Bacterial small subunit ribosomal RNA", at positions 354 to 796 of the family's 1533-position model. The record is from RNAcentral.
GUGAGGAAUAUUGGACAAUGGGCGCAAGCCUGAUCCAGCCAUGCCGCGUGCAGGAAGACGCAUCUAUGGUGUGUAAACUGCUUUUGUACGGGAAGAAACACUCCCUCGUGAGGGAGCUUGACGGUACCGUAAGAAUAAGGAUCGGCUAACUCCGUGCCAGCAGCCGCGGUAAUACGGAGGAUCCAAGCGUUAUCCGGAAUCAUUGGGUUUAAAGGGUCCGUAGGCGGUUUAAUAAGUCAGUGGUGAAAGCCCAUCGCUCAACGAUGGAACGGCCAUUGAUACUGUUAGACUUGAAUUACAAGGAAGUAACUAGAAAAUGUAGUGUAGCGGUGAAAUGCUUAGAUAUUACAUGGAAUACCAAUUGCGAAGGCAGGUUACUACUUGUGGAUUGACGCUGAUGGACGAAAGCGUGGGGAGCGAACAGGAUUAGAUACCUCAGUAGUCC